Molecule: non-coding RNA, 596 nt
Organism: Arachis ipaensis
Lineage: Eukaryota; Viridiplantae; Streptophyta; Magnoliopsida; Fabales; Fabaceae
Source: RefSeq, a predicted model, not a curated record
GUGUUUAAGUGCUUCCAAAUGAGUCCAUCUUUUGAUGCUAUUAGCAAUAUUGUUCCUCCAAGAGAGGCUUGGAGGCUUAAAGUGAGGGUAAUUAGAGCUUAGAUUGUUCCAAGCUUUGAAAAUUCAGAUUCUCCAAAUUCAACGGAGCUCAUUUUAGUGGAUGAAAAUUUAAACAAAAUCCAAGCCACUAUAAGGAAGCAACUUAUCAACAGGUUUAAAGAUAAUAUUAUUGAAGGAAAUUGCUACAAGAUGUGUUAUUUCUUUGUUGUUCCAAAUCAUUGCUCUUAUAGAGCUACAAAACAUGAGUUUAAGCUUACAUUUCUCUUCUAAACAAUAGUAACAACUAUACCAGAUGAUAUCAUACCUAGAGUCUGUUUUACUCUAUAUCCUUUUAAGGAGAUAUUACAAAUGAGCCAAGAUCAUGAUUAUUUAGUUUAUGUUAUUGGGUUGCUGACUUUAGUUGGAGAGGAAAAAAGUUAUGAUAAAGAUGGAAAAACAAUCAAGAUGGUUGUUGUGGAGCUUUCUUCUCAAAAGAUGGUGCUUAGGUGCGCUCUGUUUGGAGAAUAUAUGUAUCAACUAAAUCAUUUUCUUUCUUC